RNAcentral lists this ribosomal RNA (426 nucleotides) under uncultured bacterium. Its description in RNAcentral is "bacterial SSU rRNA". It matches the Rfam family "Bacterial small subunit ribosomal RNA", at positions 355 to 776 of the family's 1533-position model. The record is from RNAcentral.
UCGAGAAUCUUCGGCAAUGGGCGAAAGCCUGACCGAGCGACGCCGCGUGCGGGAUGAAGGCCUUCGGGUUGUAAACCGCUGUUGUUGGGGAUGAAAUCUCUGGGGGUUCUCCCCCAGAGUUGACAGAUCCAAUGAGGAAGUCCGGGCUAAGUUCGUGCCAGCAGCCGCGGUAAUACGAACCGGACAAACGUUAUUCGGAUUCACUGGGCUUAAAGAGUGCGUAGGCGGUCUACCAAGUUGGGUGUGAAAUCCCUCGGCUCAACCGAGGAAUUGCGCUCAAAACUGGCAGACUCGAGGAAGGCAGGGGUAAGCGGAACUGAUGGUGGAGCGGUGAAAUGCGUUGAUAUCAUCAGGAACACCAGUGGCGAAGGCGGCUUACUGGGCCUUUUCUGACGCUGAGGCACGAAAGCUAGGGUAGCGAACGGG